This 1524-nucleotide ribosomal RNA is filed under the name Salmonella enterica subsp. enterica serovar Derby. RNAcentral's name for it is "bacterial SSU rRNA". It matches the Rfam family "Bacterial small subunit ribosomal RNA". The record is from RNAcentral. Lineage: Bacteria; Pseudomonadati; Pseudomonadota; Gammaproteobacteria; Enterobacterales; Enterobacteriaceae.
AAAUUGAAGAGUUUGAUCAUGGCUCAGAUUGAACGCUGGCGGCAGGCCUAACACAUGCAAGUCGAACGGUAACAGGAAGCAGCUUGCUGCUUUGCUGACGAGUGGCGGACGGGUGAGUAAUGUCUGGGAAACUGCCUGAUGGAGGGGGAUAACUACUGGAAACGGUGGCUAAUACCGCAUAACGUCGCAAGACCAAAGAGGGGGACCUUCGGGCCUCUUGCCAUCAGAUGUGCCCAGAUGGGAUUAGCUUGUUGGUGAGGUAACGGCUCACCAAGGCGACGAUCCCUAGCUGGUCUGAGAGGAUGACCAGCCACACUGGAACUGAGACACGGUCCAGACUCCUACGGGAGGCAGCAGUGGGGAAUAUUGCACAAUGGGCGCAAGCCUGAUGCAGCCAUGCCGCGUGUAUGAAGAAGGCCUUCGGGUUGUAAAGUACUUUCAGCGGGGAGGAAGGUGUUGUGGUUAAUAACCACAGCAAUUGACGUUACCCGCAGAAGAAGCACCGGCUAACUCCGUGCCAGCAGCCGCGGUAAUACGGAGGGUGCAAGCGUUAAUCGGAAUUACUGGGCGUAAAGCGCACGCAGGCGGUCUGUCAAGUCGGAUGUGAAAUCCCCGGGCUCAACCUGGGAACUGCAUUCGAAACUGGCAGGCUUGAGUCUUGUAGAGGGGGGUAGAAUUCCAGGUGUAGCGGUGAAAUGCGUAGAGAUCUGGAGGAAUACCGGUGGCGAAGGCGGCCCCCUGGACAAAGACUGACGCUCAGGUGCGAAAGCGUGGGGAGCAAACAGGAUUAGAUACCCUGGUAGUCCACGCCGUAAACGAUGUCUACUUGGAGGUUGUGCCCUUGAGGCGUGGCUUCCGGAGCUAACGCGUUAAGUAGACCGCCUGGGGAGUACGGCCGCAAGGUUAAAACUCAAAUGAAUUGACGGGGGCCCGCACAAGCGGUGGAGCAUGUGGUUUAAUUCGAUGCAACGCGAAGAACCUUACCUGGUCUUGACAUCCACGGAAGUUUUCAGAGAUGAGAAUGUGCCUUCGGGAACCGUGAGACAGGUGCUGCAUGGCUGUCGUCAGCUCGUGUUGUGAAAUGUUGGGUUAAGUCCCGCAACGAGCGCAACCCUUAUCCUUUGUUGCCAGCGAUUAGGUCGGGAACUCAAAGGAGACUGCCAGUGAUAAACUGGAGGAAGGUGGGGAUGACGUCAAGUCAUCAUGGCCCUUACGACCAGGGCUACACACGUGCUACAAUGGCGCAUACAAAGAGAAGCGACCUCGCGAGAGCAAGCGGACCUCAUAAAGUGCGUCGUAGUCCGGAUUGGAGUCUGCAACUCGACUCCAUGAAGUCGGAAUCGCUAGUAAUCGUGGAUCAGAAUGCCACGGUGAAUACGUUCCCGGGCCUUGUACACACCGCCCGUCACACCAUGGGAGUGGGUUGCAAAAGAAGUAGGUAGCUUAACCUUCGGGAGGGCGCUUACCACUUUGUGAUUCAUGACUGGGGUGAAGUCGUAACAAGGUAACCGUAGGGGAACCUGC